AGGCUUAUAUCAUCUCUCCUUUCAGAUGUGACAACGCCUAGCCAGGAAAGUGGCAGCCAGUACAUCACAGUGGCUAACAACAGCGUAGCCAGCAGUGAUCGAGAUGAUGGGACAACAUCAUCACAUGUAACAUAGUUAUGCCCGAGUUAAAUCCUAUCACAUAUAGUUAUCAUAUCCAGUUAAUAAAUUCAUUUCACAAAGUGUUCACAA
This 210-nucleotide long non-coding RNA is filed under the name Dermacentor andersoni. Its description in RNAcentral is "uncharacterized LOC126533094". The record is from RNAcentral. Lineage: Eukaryota; Metazoa; Arthropoda; Arachnida; Ixodida; Ixodidae.